Molecule: long non-coding RNA, 1611 nt
Filed under: Salmo salar (Atlantic salmon)
Lineage: Eukaryota; Metazoa; Chordata; Actinopteri; Salmoniformes; Salmonidae
Description: lncRNA (ENSSSAG00000109636.1)
Source: RNAcentral
CUGACAUGUUGUCCACCCAAUAAGAAUGAAUCUAUCACUGAAAACAUAAGCUACAGCUAGCUAGCACUGCAGUGCAUAAAAUAUGAUGAGUAGUUGACUCAAAGAGAGAGAAAGACAAUAAUUGAUUUCUUCCAAAAUGAAGGAGAAGUAGGAGAGAGAGAGAUUGCAAUAUCUUUUUUUUUUUGAGGGGGGGGGGUUCACUUUCACUUAGCUACUUAGCUAGCAAAAGGCAAAAGCAGCUAGCUAGCUAGUUUAACCUACUCAAACACCCGGCUCAAACAGAGGGAUGCUAUGUUAGCUAGCUGAUUAUGACUAUCCAACACAACACUGGAACUCUUCCAAGUCAAGCUCUCCCUCGCUCUGUGUUGACAGGAAGUUUAACUCAGGCUGAGCUGAUGGAUGGUCUCUAUUUAGGCUGUGAGGAGGUCAAGCCCACAGAGGAAGCAAUCAACCAGGACUCAGAACAGGAGGAACCUCCACAGCUGCACUGGAAGUAAUAAACUGACCAGGGUGGGCCCCUGUUGGGAGAAUCCGUUUUUGCAGGGUCAAAGGGUUUGGUCAGAUUGGUCGUCCAAUGACCCCAUGGUGAACUUUAUGAGUAGGAACCUUGAAGCCGAGGAGCUGGGUAGUUGAAUUUUGGAGGAGGCUGAGCUGACUGGCAGUUAGCUUGAAACCCUCAUCAGGGAAUGAAUAGUCUGAAACCUGCCUAUGGUAGAUAUCUAGCUGUACUGCUCGAGAAACGUAUAAGCAGAUAUUUUUGUGUUUUUUUAAGCCUGGCUCUAAGACUCUCUGAGCUAAAUAAAUAGGAGAAUGAUUUGAAUCUGGCUUCCCUCUCAAUUCCACUUCAAACUUUAGUCUUAGUCACCAUGAGCCCCUAUACCCAUGAGAGUUGUAUAUGUAUGAAUUAUUUACAGCUUCAUGGCGGAGCGCUGCUGCUCCGUGCACAGAGUGAAAGUCAAUUUCAUUUUCUUCUUUUCAUUUCCUCGCAUCCCUCCAGCAUUUUCUAAAGUGGAAGAAGACAGAUUCUCAAUUUCAUUUGGAUUCUCUAACUUCCGUACCUUCAGAAAAGAGCAGAGAACUGUGCCAGAACUGAGUCAUGAAGAUGACAGAUUUAUAUUUCCAUUUCCCCCACCAUGUCUAUCGACAUCUGAAGUUUAAGUUAUUUUGCAGCUUUUUAGUUGGGUUAAGUCAUGAACUUAAAGAUGGAAUCCACAUAAGGGGGGAAACACCGAAACUGGCCGCCUCACCACCGUUGCUUUUGUUUUUGUUGCCGAGCUGAGGAGCGUCAUGCAACAUGGCAAAGAAACAUUACAGUACAUAUUGUGCUCUUCAAUCAUGCAUGCAAUGAUGCCCGAGGGAAACAAAUGUAACUCUUUAUUUCGAAAGUCCAUCUGUAGAUCCGCUACAGAAUAUCUACAGACUAUCAGUAACAUUUCAACUAACUAUCUGUUAACCCUAACCCUAGCUCGAACCCUAACCUUAACCCUUAUCCUAACCCUAAACUUAACCCUUACACUAUCCCUAACCCUAGUCCUAACCUUAACCCUUCCUUAUCCUAACCCUUAUUCUAAACCUAACCCCAACCUUAUCCAAUUAAAGUGUGACCAAAAA